GGGGGUAUAGCUCAGUUGGGAGAGCACCUGCUUUGCACGCAGGGGGUCAGCGGUUCGAAUCCGCUUACCUCCA
RNAcentral lists this transfer RNA (73 nucleotides) under Pseudomonadota bacterium. RNAcentral's name for it is "tRNA-Ala". It matches the Rfam family "tRNA". From Rfam's summary of the family: Transfer RNA (tRNA) molecules are approximately 80 nucleotides in length. Their secondary structure includes four short double-helical elements and three loops (D, anti-codon, and T loops). Lineage: Bacteria; Pseudomonadati; Pseudomonadota. The record is from RNAcentral. RNAcentral also lists the same sequence under 1 other name.